GAUGAACGCUGGCGGCGUGCCUAAUACAUGCAAGUCGAGCGAACAGAUGAGGAGCUUGCUCCUCUGACGUUAGCGGCGGACGGGUGAGUAACACGUGGAUAACCUACUUAUAUUACUGGGAUAACUUCGGGAAACCGGAGCUAAUACCGGAUAAUAUAUUGAACCGCAUGGUUCAAUAGUGAAAGACGGCUUUGCUGUCACUUAUAGAUGGAUCCGCGCCGCAUUAGCUAGUUGGUAAGGUAACGGCUUACCAAGGCAACGAUGCGUAGCCGACCUGAGAGGGUGAUCGGCCACACUGGAACUGAGACACGGUCCAGACUCCUACGGGAGGCAGCAGUAGGGAAUCUUCCGCAAUGGGCGAAAGCCUGACGGAGCAACGCCGCGUGAGUGAUGAAGGUCUUCGGAUCGUAAAACUCUGUUAUUAGGGAAGAACAAAUGUGUAAGUAACUAUGCACGUCUUGACGGUACCUAAUCAGAAAGCCACGGCUAACUACGUG
Molecule: ribosomal RNA, 497 nt
Filed under: uncultured bacterium
Lineage: Bacteria
Description: partial 16S ribosomal RNA
Rfam family: Bacterial small subunit ribosomal RNA
Source: RNAcentral